UACGUAGGUGGUUUGUCGCGUUGUCCGUGAAAACUCACAACUCAAUUGUGGGCGUGCGGGCGAUACGGGCAGACUGGAGUACUGCAGGGGAGACUGGAAUUCCUGGUGUAGCGGUGGAAUGCGCAGAUAUCAGGAGGAACACCGGUGGCGAAGGCGGGUCUCUGGGCAGUAACUGACGCUGAGGAGCGAAAGCGUGGGGAGCGAACAGG
This 209-nucleotide ribosomal RNA is filed under the name uncultured bacterium. RNAcentral describes it as "partial 16S ribosomal RNA". It matches the Rfam family "Bacterial small subunit ribosomal RNA", at positions 568 to 776 of the family's 1533-position model. The record is from RNAcentral.